CACGAAAUCGGGUGACUUCCCUUUGCUUUUCAUCGAUGCCAAGAGGCUUUGAAACACCAGACCUUUGCUUACAUCCUGUGGUUUCACCUCAACAAUGUGCUGGCCUCGUUUAACAACCACAGGCUCGUUAGCGAGCACACUCUCGAGAUGAUCAAGAAGCUCUUUAGCCUGCCAAAUGCCAAAGUCAGGAUCAGCUUCAAGAUGAUGCCACACUAGUGCACUUUCCUUCUGCUCUAUCGAAGAACCAUCUGUUGCCUCGGUGUAUUUCUUCAUAAUAGGCAAGACCACUUUUUUCCACUCAGUGUCUGCAGGUACCAGACGAGAUUCCCAAUCGGAAUCCUUCCUCCACCUAGUGAAGUAACCAUGCUCUGCUGAUAAGCCAAGUUCUGCACACGGAGAAAACCACUUGCUGAGCGUAUCCCUUCCCCUGCCGCUCACGAUAAACACGAUGUUCUUUGGAUCACUGCAUAAACCAUUCAGAACUGAGAUGACUUCUUGACUUGGGGCUUUGUCCACUUUAUCCUCUGGUAACAUAGUACCAUCAUAGUCGAGUAGGAUGAGCCUGCUGUUUGUCAAUUUAUAAGAAGAGACGAUAUGGGCUACCGAAAGCUUCUUGAAAUUCGGCCCAAGCGCAGCAAAACCUAAAGCCAAAGUUG
RNAcentral lists this unclassified non-coding RNA (656 nucleotides) under Hevea brasiliensis (rubber tree). The record is from RNAcentral. Lineage: Eukaryota; Viridiplantae; Streptophyta; Magnoliopsida; Malpighiales; Euphorbiaceae.